This 512-nucleotide ribosomal RNA is filed under the name uncultured bacterium. Its description in RNAcentral is "bacterial SSU rRNA". It matches the Rfam family "Bacterial small subunit ribosomal RNA", at positions 1007 to 1529 of the family's 1533-position model. The record is from RNAcentral.
GACAUGUCAGCCGCAAGGCAGUUGUGAAGGUGCUGCAUGGUUGUCGUCAGCUCGUGCCGUGAGGUGUCGGCUUAAGUGCCAUAACGAGCGCAACCCUUAUCGAUAGUUACCAUCAGGUUAUGCUGGGGACUCUGUCGAGACUGCCGUCGUAAGAUGUGAGGAAGGUGGGGAUGACGUCAAAUCAGCACGGCCCUUACGUCCGGGGCUACACACGUGUUACAAUGGGGGGUACAGAAGGCAGCUACACGGCGACGUGAUGCUAAUCCCGAAAGCCUCUCUCAGUUCGGAUUGGAGUCUGCAACCCGACUCCAUGAAGCUGGAUUCGCUAGUAAUCGCGCAUCAGCCACGGCGCGGUGAAUACGUUCCCGGGCCUUGUACACACCGCCCGUCAAGCCAUGAAAGCCGGGGGUACCUGAAGUGCGUAACCGCAAGGAGCGCCCUAGGGUAAAACUGGUGAUUGGGGCUAAGUCGUAACAAGGUAGCCGUACCGGAAGGUGCGGCUGGAUCACCUC